Molecule: long non-coding RNA, 2790 nt
Organism: Musa acuminata AAA Group (dessert banana)
Lineage: Eukaryota; Viridiplantae; Streptophyta; Magnoliopsida; Zingiberales; Musaceae
Exons: 2
Source: RefSeq, a predicted model, not a curated record
CUUUGACGACGCUGCACCAUGAAAACAACACCUGCAGAUGGUCGGCUUGAUCACCCCCACCUCACGAUCCUGGCUUUGAAUCCAUAUCGAUGCAUCUGUGCAUGUCAAUGGAGGAUGCCAAGCUUUUCGUCUGCCUGAAGCAAAGCAUACUUCAACGCUAGUGAUACUGUCAGUGGCUAUGAAGCCCACUGGAGGCUCUUCAAGGUUUCCAAGUUCAUAUAUCCACGCUGGUUACAUUGGAGUCCAAGCCAAUGCAGAAUGGGAGGAGGCUCUUUGAGUUGCUACAAGAGCAGGCUGCGUUGUGCUGGCUCGAGAGCGCUUGCAGGAGGCUUAGAAAGCUCAGCAUCCAUGGCUUCAACAGGAGGAGAGGAGGGAGGCCGUACUAAACAAAGCUGCAUGCAACAUGGUAAUGAAGAAGGGCCCGAACUGGGAGCCCGUAGCUCUCGUAAGAGGAAGAUGCAGCAGUUUCUGUUCUUUCUUUGACAUGGGUGGCAAAACCCACGUAGGGCUUCGAGGGAAUGCAGCCGCUAAAUCUGUGCUCGAGCUGCACUUUGACGAAGGUUGGUUCACCGUUCGCAACCCCAUGUAGCCAUACAGCUUCUCUCGUCCUUAAUUCCUUGCAGUAGAUGACGAGCUCCUUCCUCGGGUGAACGCUCGCACCAAGAUGCCUCCGGAGCAGCAGCGCCAUGUUCUCCUGGAUUCUCUAUGGGAGGUGGAAGAUAGGCUUUGAAGGUCUCAUGAGGAGAAAGGAGGUUUCACGAACAUAAGCCGAUCGAUAGAUUCUGAUCUGUCCACGUCCAGGGAAGGAUGGAACCAUUUCUGGCUUGAAAUGAAGGAGAUCGGCGUCGAGAUCGAAACCAUCUUCUUCGAAGAGAUCAGAGAAGAAGCUGCACAAGAAAUGCUAAUUGAUGGAUUCGUGGAGAGUUGGGGUACGUACGUGUUGGGUUUGGUGGGCCCAUUAAUUGAUGCGUGGAGACUCGGUGUAUUUAUGUGUCGGGUUUGGUGGGCCCAAAACAUGAAUGCAAGUUUUGAGCCUGUUUACGGCUCAGUGCCAGUGUCGGCCCAAAAUUGAAAUCUAGGGUUAGGGUUCCUCAUUAAUUGGUUCGGCCGUUCGGGUGCGUUUGCGUUCCAGCCGUCUUGGUUUGUUCCUGCUCUCUCCUUUCGUUCUUUCAUUCUCCCUUCCGUUUUCGUUUGUUUGUUUUCUCAUUUUCUUUCACUCUGCUCUUGUGGCUGUGAUGACUAUUUCGUUUCUCGAAUCUGAUAUCGAUGUCAUUCGAGGACCGCCUUGAUGACUUCAUUUGUGCGUGUCUGAGCCAUUUUUGUUCUUGUUCUUCGAUCUAAAUUGUAGAAAUCAAACAUUUAGAUCAUCUGAUUGAUGGGAUCGGAUGACGAUCGAUGUGGAUUUUACUUUUGUUACUGAUUUGAUAGUUUGAUUAGGCUUCAUAUGUGCAUAUUGAUUGGAUCAGUGGAGAAGGAAGGGGAAGUUGAUUAAUGAGAACCCAAAUUUAAUAUGCUUGUUUUAGCUCUUGGAGGCCUUCUUUCUUGUGAAAUUUUAGAUUUCAAUGUUGCUUGGUCUCAGGAAGAUGCCAGCUAAAUCUUGGGGCUUUCUCCAUCAAGGAGCUCUUUGAGUUGGAGGAUCUGUGUGAUGCAUGCAUGUGGUGUGUUUACUGCACUGUUCUUGACUCAUAUGGGCGCAUUUAAUCUUUGAAUGGAUAGCUUUUGGUUGAACGAGACCGAUUCUGAGCUGUUUUCAUUGAAGGUGUGACAAUCAUUGGUUAUUGGGAUUUCAUGUUUUUACUCAUUGGUUUGUCUCUUUGUUUAUUUUUUUGAGAUUUAAUUAUUUUCCUUACCAAGUGCAUGUUUGAUGAGUAAUUCUACUUCUUGAUCUUGAUAUCUUGUUUUCGUUUUGACUACUUGUGUAUGUAUCUCGGACAACUUUUUCUUGUUCAGAAUGUGUAGUUUAGCAAAAUAUUGUUAGUUCUGUGUACCAAAAUGACCUCAGAGAUAGCGAUAUGUUUCAUCGGAAGAGUAAAUGUCACGUAAAAAUAUUCUCUCAUAUCAGUUUGGGUUUCCUAAGUGUAAAUUCCAAAUAUUUCUCUUCUUGUAGGUACAAAGAAAGCCUUUUAUUAUAUGGCAUGAAAUUUAGUCAGGGGAGCAUACGUAAGUAUAAACUCGCAUUGCAUUUAUAUCUCAUUGUUCUCAUCAGGAUAGACUAUAUAAAUUACUUUGAGUCUCAUGUAGAUCUUACAAAAUGCUGAUUCUAAUAUGGCAUUAGAUGCAUUGAGUACUUGACAUGUUCUGAGAUUAUGAUGCAUGCCAAUAACAGGAAAUCAGACAGACUUCAUCCUUUUUUCACUGUUUAAUUUGAUCAGAUGUGGCCAUUUACAGCACAGUAGUGUUUCUGCAUUAUGCCAGAAUGCCAUCGAUGCUGCUGCUGCUUUGUUUCCUCCUGUGAGCCUCAUAUGACUGAAGCAAUUCACAUUGGCACAGCAAAAUGUGAAUCAAGAGAACGUUUAUCUUCAUAUGUCUCGACUCAUUCCUCGGAUUGUUGGGAAUUUUAUAGCAAUUCAGGUGGUAUAUUUGUGCCUCCACACAGUUUGCUGGGACAUGAAUCGUGGGAAUUAACGAGUUGGAUUGGGUUUCUUAUGUUAUCAAUUGAUAGUAUGUUAUGUUACGGAUGUUAGCACCAUAGCAGUGACCUCCAAAGUUGGCUGUGCUCCACAUUGUAAAAGAUUAUUUCUAGUUAGAAUUAAUCAAAAUGCACAAUAAAUCCACUCCAUCAUUCUUUCA